Molecule: ribosomal RNA, 427 nt
Filed under: uncultured Conexibacter sp.
Lineage: Bacteria; Bacillati; Actinomycetota; Thermoleophilia; Solirubrobacterales; Conexibacteraceae
Description: bacterial SSU rRNA
Rfam family: Bacterial small subunit ribosomal RNA
Source: RNAcentral
UGGGGAAUCUUGCGCAAUGCGCGAAAGCGUGACGCAGCAACGCCGCGUGAGGGAAGACGGCCUUCGGGUUGUAAACCUCUUUCAGUUGGGACGAAGCCUCGACGGUUAAUACCCGUCUGGGGUGACGGUACCUUCAGAAGAAGCCCCGGCUAACUACGUGCCAGCAGCCGCGGUAAUACGUAGGGGGCAAGCGUUGUCCGGAAUCAUUGGGCGUAAAGCGCGUGUAGGCGGCUUGGUAAGUCCGCUCUGAAAGCCCGGGGCUCAACCCCGGGAGGCGGGUGGAUACUGUCAAGCUCGAGUCCGGAAGAGGCGAGUGGAAUUCCUGGUGUAGCGGUGAAAUGCGCAGAUAUCAGGAGGAACACCAAUGGCGAAGGCAGCUCGCUGGGACGUGACUGACGCUGAGACGCGAAAGCGUGGGGAGCAAACA